This 261-nucleotide ribosomal RNA is filed under the name uncultured archaeon. RNAcentral's name for it is "partial 16S ribosomal RNA". It matches the Rfam family "Archaeal small subunit ribosomal RNA", at positions 748 to 1008 of the family's 1478-position model. The record is from RNAcentral.
AGGGUGUAAACGCCGCAGACUUGGUGUUGGGAACCCUUCGGGGGUGCUCAGUGCCGGAGAGAAGUUGUUAAGUCUGCUACUUGGGGAGUACGUCCGCAAGGAUGAAACUUAAAGGAAUUGGCGGGGGAGCACCACAACGGGAGGAGCGUGCGGUUUAAUUGGAUUCAACGCCGAAAAACUCACCAGCAGCGACUGUUACAUGAAAGUCAGGUUGAUGACCUUACUAGAUUUUCAGAGAGGAGGUGCAUGGCGUCAGUGACU